This 460-nucleotide ribosomal RNA is filed under the name uncultured bacterium. RNAcentral's name for it is "partial 16S ribosomal RNA". It matches the Rfam family "Bacterial small subunit ribosomal RNA", at positions 338 to 795 of the family's 1533-position model. The record is from RNAcentral.
CCUACGGGUGGCAGCAGUGAGGAAUAUUGGUCAAUGGGCGUAAGCCUGAACCAGCCAAGUCGCGUGAGGGAUGAAGGUUCUAUGGAUCGUAAACCUCUUUUAUAAGGGAAUAAAAUGCGGGACGUGUCCCGUUUUGUAUGUACCUUAUGAAUAAGGAUCGGCUAACUCCGUGCCAGCAGCCGCGGUAAUACGGAGGAUCCGAGCGUUAUCCGGAUUUAUUGGGUUUAAAUGGUGCGUAGGCGGCCUUUUAAGUCAGCGGUGAAAGUCUGUGGGUCAACCCCAGAAGGGCCGUGAAAACUGGCAGGCUUGAGGAUGUUUGAGGCAGGCGGAAUGCGCGGUGUAGCGGUGAAAUGCUUAGAUAUCACGCAGAACCCCGAUUGCGAAGGCAGCAUGCCAAGCGAUGACUGACGCUGAUGCACGAAAGCGUGGGGAUCAAACAGGAUUAGAUACCCUUGUAGUC